CCCGGGAGACGUUUAUCUUCUUCCGCCGCUACUUCGACGCCAUCACCCCCGCAGAGCCUUGGGCUUCAUUGCCAGCCGAGAUGCGGGAGCAAUUUGCAGGUGUGGAGGAGACUGCUCGCUUUAGGAUUUUGCUGGAGGGCCCAAUUUAUUGGGCUUGGCACCUGGGUGAGCGUUUCCUACCGCCAGACCCUAGGUUUACCGGAGCAGAUAGUCCCGGUUCACCCUCUUGAGCAUAUGAGGGACACCGAGAGGUUCACUUCCGAGCAGAUGGCCGACUACACGAUCGGCUGGGAUGCGAUCCGCUUCAGAGGCAUAGGCGACUACUCAGAGUAUGUGAGGACGCAUAUCAUGCGGCCUUUGAGUAGUGGCCGCCGAGCUAAGAAGGAGGGACCUGCGGCUGGAGCCGGAGCAAGAGCAGGGACAUCGAGGGUGGCUCGGGCUCGUGGCAGGAGCGGAGCUCGGAGGUGACAGGGGGCUAGUUGGCCAGCACUGCCUGUGACGAUGACAUGCCGAGGGCGGGGUGGGGCAACUUACCAGAUUCCCAUUGCUCCCCCUCUGGCAGACCACGAGCUAGUCAGGUUUUAUGGCUUGCCUCCGGCCUCUUCUGAGUACACUCGCCAGUCCCUAGAGCUGACCGCCUCCGUGAUGGGGAUGCUCCAGUAGAGCCUCGACCUUCUGGCAAUUUACAGCAUUCCGCAUCCCUUCCAGAUUCCUACUGUAGGAGGUGCUCUAGCUGGACCAUCCAUUCCUGUUCAAGGGGGAGAUGGAGAGGGCAGAGUAUACCCCCGCACCAAGGCGGGGCGCACUCAUGUUGGGAGUAGCUCACGAGCACUCGUCCCUGAUGAUGAUGAUAACGAGUCCGAGGCUGAGGCUGAGGCUGAGGCGGAGGCAGAGGCAGAGUCGUCCGAGGAGGAGACCGGAGACGGCUCGGGCUCAGACUCAAAGGACGAUGCUGAUGAUGAUGCUCCUGGACCUUCCUCCAGGAAGAGGACGAGGAUGAGGACGGACCCUUAGACCCGAGGCCUUUUGACAUUGAUCCAAAUUUUUGCUGUUUUUUUUUUUCUUCUUUUUUGUACUUUUCUUUUUGUUGCUAGUAGCUAGAGUACCUUGUACUGCCGCAGGCAGGUUUUUUGUUUCCAAAGCUUUGUACUUGACAAAGAUGAUGAAAUGAAAUAAA
This is a non-coding RNA of Camellia sinensis, 1177 nucleotides long. The record is from RefSeq and is a predicted model, not a curated record. NCBI's taxonomy places the organism in Eukaryota, Viridiplantae, Streptophyta, Magnoliopsida, Ericales, Theaceae.